RNAcentral lists this ribosomal RNA (397 nucleotides) under uncultured bacterium. RNAcentral's name for it is "partial 16S ribosomal RNA". It matches the Rfam family "Bacterial small subunit ribosomal RNA", at positions 523 to 918 of the family's 1533-position model. The record is from RNAcentral.
AUACGUAGGUGACAAGCGUUAUCCGGAUUUACUGGGCGUAAAGGGCGUGUAGGCGGUCUUGCAAGUCAGAAGUGAAAUUCCUGAGCUCAACUCGGGCGCUGCUUCUGAAACUGCAGGACUUGAGUGCUGGAGGGGAUAGCGGAAUUCCUAGUGGAGCGGUAAAAUGCGCAGAUAUUAGGAAGAACACCGGUGGCGAAGGCGGCUAUCUGGACAGUAACUGACGCUGAGGCGCGAAAGCGUGGGGAGCAAACAGGAUUAGAUACCCUGGUAGUCCACGCCAUAAACGAUGAAUACUAGGUGUAGGGGGUAUCGACCCCCUCUGUGCCGACGUUAACACAAUAAGUAUUCCGCCUGGGGAGUACGGCCGCAAGGUUGAAACUCAAAUGAAUUGACGGGG